GACUGACCAUAUGCCCCAGAAAUACUCCGGAUGUAGCUCCAAACAGACAUUUCACCGGGUUGAGCUUUAAAUUGUACUUUCGAAGUCUAAGGAAGAACUUCUCAAGUGCUGUUGUAUGUUCUUCAGCUGUUUUUGAUUUAACAACCAUAUCGUCCACAUACACUUCUACUUCUUUGUGAAUCAUGUCAUGGAAGAUGGUCGUUGCCAUUCUUUGAUAGGUUGCCCCGGCAUUUUUGAGCCCAAAAGGCAUAACCCUGUAGCAGUAGGUUCCCCACUCCGUGAUGAAUGCCGUUUUCUCUUUGUCUGGCAAAUGCAUCAUUAUUUGAUUGUAUCCGACAGCAAGAUCGGUCAAGGAGACCAUCUCGUGUCCAGCCAUUCGGUCCACCAACAAGUCAAUAUAUGGCAGGGGGAAGUCAUCCUUCGGACAUGCUUUAUUCAAAUCCCGGUAAUCCACACACAUUCUGACUUUGCCAUCUUUCUUCGGCACCGGCACAAUAUUUGCUAACCACGUCGGGUAGGCAAUGGGUUCUAUGAACUUAUUCUCCAGUUGCUUGGCUACUUCCUCCUUGAUUUUCAAGGACCAUUCGGUCUUCAGCCUUCUUAGCUUCUGCUUCACUGGCUUAGCCUCGGGAUAUACUGGAAUCUUGUGCACCACUAUUGCUGGGUCAAUUCCCGUGAUGUCACUUGCCUUCCACAUGAAGCAAUCGGCAAACUUCUUCAAGCAUUCAAUGACCUGUUCCCUGUUCACACAGUCAGAUGCAAUGUAUGUAUGUUCAUUUUCUUCUUUGCCAAUUAUUAUUUUUUCUUUUUCAUUUUUUAUUUCAUUUAUAUGAUUAUUUUUGCUUGGAAAUGCUUGGAAAGAUAGACACGCGGGGUAGCCAAUAAUUUGCAAGUCGGAUGUAGCUCCAAACAGACACUUCACUGGGUUGAGCUUUAAAUUGUACUUUCGAAGUCUAAGGAAGAACUUCUCAAGUGCUGUUGUAUGUUCUUCAGCUGUUUUUGAUUUAACAACCAUAUCGUCCACGUACACUUCUACUUCUUCGUGAAUCAUGUCAUGGAAGAUGGUCGUCGCCAUUCUUUGAUAGGUUGCCCCGGCAUUUUUGAGCCCAAAAGGCAUAACCCUGUAGCAGUAGGUUCCCCACUCCGUGAUGAAUGCCGUUUUCUCUUUGUCUGGCACAUGCAUCAUUAUUUGGUUGUACCCGACAGCAAGAUCGGUCAAGGAGACCAUCUCGUGUCCCGCCAUUCGGUCUACCAACAAGUCAAUAUGCGGCAGGGGGAAGUCGUCCUUCGGACAUGCUUUAUUCAAAUCCCGGUAAUCCACACACAUUCUGACUUUGCCAUCUUUC
Molecule: long non-coding RNA, 1346 nt
Filed under: Jatropha curcas
Lineage: Eukaryota; Viridiplantae; Streptophyta; Magnoliopsida; Malpighiales; Euphorbiaceae
Description: long non-coding RNA (JCUR_LNC002252)
Source: RNAcentral